ACCAAUUUAAGAUUAGUAAUGUAGACAUUACAAAGGCCUUCCUUCAAACUUGAUCAACAGAGUAUGUCAAGAUCUUAGUGAGCUUGUUGUGCUAUCUACAAGGCUUACUAUAGAAAUUGAUAUGAUGUUGAUCAGGUGCAUAUUGAUGCUUAUGGCAUAUUUAAAUAGUAUUGCUUUGUUAUCCUAUCCACAAAGAUAGCAUUAUUUAAGUAUGACCAUAUGAGAUUGAAGUGUUAACUUAACUAGAACACUAUAGUUUAUUGUGCUAUCCACAAGACUAUAUGUGAUCUAGAGGCAAGAGAGAAAAAUAUUGAGAAUUGUAUAAGUAUAAUU
Molecule: long non-coding RNA, 333 nt
Filed under: Elaeis guineensis (African oil palm)
Lineage: Eukaryota; Viridiplantae; Streptophyta; Magnoliopsida; Arecales; Arecaceae
Description: long non-coding RNA (EGUI_LNC051468)
Source: RNAcentral